AUUACCUGAUUUAUUACUCAGAACAUGGGCCGGGUGUUGUCCCCGUAAGAAAGCUUCUGCAGGAAAGACUCGUCAUCUCCUCCAUAAGAAAGCUUAAAGUUGUCCCCAAUGCUAACAUUUCCAGCCAACAAACCACGAAGUUCGUAUGCCAUCUGAAAUAUGUCGAGACAUAAUACUAAACGUGUCAUAAGAAAUACAUAUUGGUCAUAAGCAAAGAAAUGUAGGAUAGGAGCCAAGAUGGAAUAUACCCAGAUGAAUGAACUUUUCACAUUAUGAAAGAUGUAGCACAAGCAUACUGGCUUAAAUUGUACAUUAUCUGCUUCACCCCAGAUAAGAAGAUAGAGACCCGCGUAAUGCAAUCUUGUUGCCCUUGAGGGAGCCUCCGAGAACGAGAUUUGUAUUAAUAGGAUUACACGUUCAAUAACAUGCAUAAGAUCUCCAAUUCACACAUUGAAAGCAGAAGUACAUGGAGCAAUUAGAUGGAUAUACAAUUGUAUCUCAGGUAAACUGUGUUUUCUUCCCAUGAACUUGCACCAUGUUUUGUAGUUCUUAAAGAGCUUGUUCAUAAUUGCAUCAACAGCUCGAUCAUCAAGCUGGAUAAGAGAAACACAUUAAAGUUUAAUCAGUGUCCAAUUAUGGAGAAGACAUGUAACAAGUCAUUAUUAUCAGUGUAUACUAGUAGAGUAGCAUCCAAGCAACGUGAAAAAAGGAAAAAAAAAUCCCAAACAAAUAAAAUUGCAUACUCCGGAACUGUUACCUGAAACAUGGGCCGAUCCGGUACGAAGAAUGGGAACAUGGUAUGCCACAUGCCCUAAAUGAUGGUAUGAUAUGAAUAAUAGAAUGUACUUGGUUCAUGUAAUAGCCAUUUCUAACAGCAUUAAGACCAUUUUUUUAACAUGUCUUGCCGAAAGAUGUUUGGUUUAUCACAAUUGAAUUUUAUUUUCUCCAAGGCACAUGCUUAAGAAAUAAAUAGUAGGGAAAAUUUUGGGAUUCGUUUUGGAAUGCUAAAUUUACCAUUUUGAAAUGAAGAUGUACCAUGUUUUUGAAUACGUUUUCUAAAAUGCAAAGGUAUUAGCAUUUUUUGGUAAUACAAGUCCAGGAAGUAAGUAUAGAACAAAAAAAUGCAUACGAAUAUAAAGUAACUUUCAGCUGAGCUCUGAAAAUCUAAUGCAGCAUCACAAUCAUAAUCAGCGUCACUGCAACCACCUCUCUUCUGUUAAGUAGUUAUUCACUUUGCUAGCUCGAACUCCAUCCUCUCCAUGGCUGCAGUCGCGGUCCCAUUGGUGUGCAGUGUUGGGUGAUUUAUUGCUUUAGGUGGUUGGGGAGGCAGAGGGUGAUCAACCAAGUGAACCAUUUUUGACAAAGGGAUGAACCCAUAAAUGGUAACGAUGGGGGUGGCCAGGUGCUCCAACUGUCAGAGAUAAAGAAGCGGUGAUGCCACAGCCGUGGUAGAUUGGGG
This 1459-nucleotide long non-coding RNA is filed under the name Actinidia chinensis (golden kiwifruit). RNAcentral describes it as "long non-coding RNA (ACHI_LNC001310)". Lineage: Eukaryota; Viridiplantae; Streptophyta; Magnoliopsida; Ericales; Actinidiaceae. The record is from RNAcentral.